CUCUUAGACGUUCUGGGCCGCACGCGCGCUACACUGACCAGUGCAACAAGCAUCCGUCCUUGGCCGACAGGCUCGGGCAAUCUUUGAACGCUGGUCGUGAUGGGGAUAGACUUUUGCAAUUUUUGGUCUUCAACGAGGAAUUCCUAGUAAACGCAAGUCAUCAACUUGCAUUGAUUACGUCCCUGCCCUUUGUACACACCGCCCGUCGCACCUACCGAUUGAAUGGUCCGGUGAAGCCUCCGGAUUGGCGCGCACCUCGGUGCCGCCGAGAAGUUGGCUAAACCUUACCAUUUAGAGGAAGGUGAAGUCGUAACA
RNAcentral lists this ribosomal RNA (315 nucleotides) under uncultured eukaryote. RNAcentral describes it as "partial 18S ribosomal RNA". It matches the Rfam family "Eukaryotic small subunit ribosomal RNA", at positions 1470 to 1796 of the family's 1831-position model. The record is from RNAcentral.